This 892-nucleotide ribosomal RNA is filed under the name uncultured bacterium. Its description in RNAcentral is "bacterial SSU rRNA". It matches the Rfam family "Bacterial small subunit ribosomal RNA", at positions 505 to 1402 of the family's 1533-position model. The record is from RNAcentral.
GUUUCAGCAGCCGCGGUAAUACGGAGGAUCCAAGCGUUAUCCGGAUUUAUUGGGUUUAAAGGGUGCGUAGGCGGCCUGUUAAGUCAGGGGUGAAAGACGGUAGCUCAACUAUCGCAGUGCCCUUGAUACUGAUGGGCUUGAAUGGACUAGAGGUAGGCGGAAUGAGACAAGUAGCGGUGAAAUGCAUAGAUAUGUCUCAGAACACCGAUUGCGAAGGCAGCUUACUAUGGUCUUAUUGACGCUGAGGCACGAAAGCGUGGGGAUCAAACAGGAUUAGAUACCCUGGUAGUCCACGCCCUAAACGAUGAACACUCGCUGUUGGCGAUACACAGUCAGCGGCUAAGCGAAAGCGUUAAGUGUUCCACCUGGGGAGUACGCCCGCAAGGGUGAAACUCAAAGGAAUUGACGGGGGCCCGCACAAGCGGAGGAGCAUGUGGUUUAAUUCGAUGAUACGCGAGGAACCUUACCCGGGCUUGAAAGUUAGUGAAUGAUCCAGAGAUGGAUCAGUGAGCAAUCACACGAAACUAGGUGCUGCAUGGCUGUCGUCAGCUCGUGCCGUGAGGUGUUGGGUUAAGUCCCGCAACGAGCGCAACCCCUAUGUUUAGUUGCCAGCACGUGAUGGUGGGGACUCUAAACAGACUGCCUGUGCAAACAGAGAGGAAGGAGGGGACGACGUCAAGUCAUCAUGGCCCUUACGUCCGGGGCUACACACGUGCUACAAUGGACGGUACAGAGGGCAGCUACAUAGCAAUAUGAUGCGAAUCUCACAAAGCCGUUCACAGUUCGGAUUGGGGUCUGCAACUCGACCCCAUGAAGUUGGAUUCGCUAGUAAUCGCGUUUCAGCAGCCGCGGUGAAUACGUUCCCGGGCCUUGUACACACCGCCCGUCAAAC